Molecule: long non-coding RNA, 807 nt
Organism: Erinaceus europaeus (western European hedgehog)
Lineage: Eukaryota; Metazoa; Chordata; Mammalia; Eulipotyphla; Erinaceidae
Exons: 3
Source: RefSeq, a predicted model, not a curated record
GUUUUCCAGACAUUAUUUCAUAAAAUAUGACCUCUUCAGUUAAUGCAUUUGUGUUUUGUUCUGACAAAGUAUCUCUAAAAUGUUGACUGCAGGAAAGUUCUCAGGCUGUGGCACUCGGAAACAUCCUAUAUUCAGUGUGAUCAAUUCUGAUUAAAGACUACAAAUUCUACUGAAUACUGAGUUGAUGAACGAAAGGCAGACCUUUAUGCCCUAGCAUCUCAACUGGAAGCAAGAAAGAAGAAACUGGAAAUUGUCUGCUCUGACAAAAGAACAACAACAACAACAUGAAGACAAUUCACAUGAAAUAGAGUCUAACUCCCAUGAGGAGAGAGAGACAGGCACAAAAGCUAUUUUCAUGAAAAACCACUGUGAGCUGUGCCUACUGACAAAGCAUAAAACAAGGUGGAAGAAAGGAGAAUUCUCUUUCUGUGUAGCAGUCCCUUACCUACACUGCAUGAUGGCUGACCAGCCACCAGGUUCCAGAUGCUACCAUGAUGCCAACCAGACUUCCCUGGGCAGACAACCCCACCAAUAUGUCCUGGAGCCCCGCUUCCCCAGAUCCCUGCACCACUAGGGAAAGAAAGAGACAGGCUGGGAGUACGGACUGACUUGUCAAUGCCCAUGUUCAGUGGGGAAGCAAUUACAGAAUCCAGAUCUUCCACCUUAUGCACCCCAUAAUGAUCCUGGGUCUAUACUCCCAGAGGGAUAAAGAAUAGAAAAGCUAUCAAGGGAUGGGAUGGGAUACGGAGUUCUGAUGGUGGGAAUUGUAUGGAAUUGCACCCCCUCUUAUCCUACGGUCUUGUCGGU